RNAcentral lists this transfer RNA (72 nucleotides) under Cotesia glomerata. Its description in RNAcentral is "tRNA-Thr". The record is from RNAcentral. Lineage: Eukaryota; Metazoa; Arthropoda; Insecta; Hymenoptera; Braconidae.
UAUAGCUUAAUUUAACUGGAAAAGCUUUUGGCGCGUAACCGAAUUCAGAUCCGGGUUCGAAUCCCGGUCCAG